CAAGCGGAACCAGGGAGCUUGCUCCUGGGUGACGAGCGGCGGACGGGUGAGUAAUGUCUGGGAAACUGCCUGAUGGAGGGGGAUAACUACUGGAAACGGUAGCUAAUACCGCAUAAUGUCGCAAGACCAAAGAGGGGGACCUUCGGGCCUCUUGCCAUCAGAUGUGCCCAGAUGGGAUUAGCUAGUAGGUGGGGUAAUGGCUCACCUAGGCGACGAUCCCUAGCUGGUCUGAGAGGAUGACCAGCCACACUGGAACUGAGACACGGUCCAGACUCCUACGGGAGGCAGCAGUGGGGAAUAUUGCACAAUGGGCGCAAGCCUGAUGCAGCCAUGCCGCGUGUAUGAANAAGGCCUUCGGGUUGUAAAGUACUUUUCANCGAGGAGGAAGGCAUUGUGGUUAAUAACCNCAGUGGAUUGACGUUACUCNCCAAAAAAACACCGGGCUAACUCCGUGCCAACAACCCGCCGGUAAUACGGANGGGUGCAAGCGGUUAAUCGGAAA
This 502-nucleotide ribosomal RNA is filed under the name Lelliottia amnigena. RNAcentral's name for it is "bacterial SSU rRNA". It matches the Rfam family "Bacterial small subunit ribosomal RNA", at positions 63 to 542 of the family's 1533-position model. Lineage: Bacteria; Pseudomonadati; Pseudomonadota; Gammaproteobacteria; Enterobacterales; Enterobacteriaceae. The record is from RNAcentral.